GACGAACGCUGGCGGCGUGCUUAACACAUGCAAGUCGAACGGUGAUGCUCCAGCUUGCUGGAGUGGAUCAGUGGCGAACGGGUGAGUAACACGUGAGCAACCUGCCCCAGACUCUGGAAUAAGCGCUGGAAACGGCGUCUAAUACUGGAUACGAAACUGGCCCGCAUGGGCAUGGUUUGGAAAGUUUUUCGGUUUGGGAUGGGCUCGCGGCCUAUCAGCUUGUUGGUGAGGUAAUGGCUCACCAAGGCGACGACGGGUAGCCGGCCUGAGAGGGCGACCGGCCACACUGGGACUGAGACACGACCCAGACUCCUACGGGAGGCAGCAGUGGGGAAUAUUGCACAAUGGGCGAAAGCCUGAUGCAGCGACGCCGCGUGAGGGAUGACGGCCUUCGGGUUGUAAACCUCUUUCAGCAGGGAAGAAGCGAAAGUGACGGUACCUGCAGAAGAAGCACCGGCUAACUACGUG
RNAcentral lists this ribosomal RNA (468 nucleotides) under uncultured bacterium. Its description in RNAcentral is "partial 16S ribosomal RNA". It matches the Rfam family "Bacterial small subunit ribosomal RNA", at positions 28 to 507 of the family's 1533-position model. The record is from RNAcentral.